GCCCGCUCAGAAACUCAAAGGAAUUGACGGGGGCCUGCACAAGCGGUGAGCAUGUGGUUUAAUCGAAGCAACGCGCAGAACCUUACAGCGUUUGACAUGGUAGGACGACUGGCAGAGAUGCCUUUCUUCCCUUCGGGGACCUACACACAGGUGCUGCAUGGCUGUCGUCAGCUCGUGUCGUGAGAUGUUGGGUUAAGUCCCGCAACGAGCGCAACCCUCGACUUUAGUUACCAUCAUUAAGUUGGGUACUUUAAAGUAACCGCCGGUGAUAAGCCGGAGGAAGGUGGGGAUGACGUCAAGUCCUCAUGGCCCUUACGCGCUGGGCUACACACGUGCUACAAUGGCAAGUACAGUGGGCAGCAAUCCCGCGAGGGUGAGCUAAUCUCCAAAACUUGUCUCAGUUCGGAUUGUUCUCUGCAACUCGAGAGCAUGAAGGCGGAAUCGCUAGUAAUCGCGGAUCAGCAUGCCGCGGUGAAUACGUUCCCAGGCCUU
This 492-nucleotide ribosomal RNA is filed under the name uncultured Sphingomonas sp. RNAcentral's name for it is "bacterial SSU rRNA". It matches the Rfam family "Bacterial small subunit ribosomal RNA", at positions 887 to 1382 of the family's 1533-position model. Lineage: Bacteria; Pseudomonadati; Pseudomonadota; Alphaproteobacteria; Sphingomonadales; Sphingomonadaceae. The record is from RNAcentral.